ACUCCUACGGGAGGCAGCAGUGGGGAAUAUUGGACAAUGGGGGCAACCCUGAUCCAGCAAUGCCGCGUGUGUGAAGAAGGCCUGCGGGUUGUAAAGCACUUUCAGUGGGGAGGAAGGCUUAAGUGUUAAUAGCGCUUAAGAUUGACGUUACCCAAAGAAGAAGCACCGGCUAACUCUGUGCCAGCAGCCGCGGUAAUACAGAGGGUGCGAGCAUUAAUCGGAAUAACUGGGCGUAAAGGGUGCGUAGGUGGUUUGGUAAGUUAGGUGUGAAAUCCCUGGGCUCAACCUGGGAAUUGCGCUUAAGACUGUCAAACUAGAGAACUGUAGAGGGAAGUGGAAUUUCCGGUGUAGCGGUGAAAUGCGUAGAUAUCGGAAGGAACACCAGUGGCGAAGGCGACUUCCUGGACAGUUACUGACACUGAGGCACGAAAGCGUGGGGAGCAAACAGGAUUAGAUACCCUGGUAGAUAGCG
Molecule: ribosomal RNA, 472 nt
Filed under: uncultured bacterium
Lineage: Bacteria
Description: bacterial SSU rRNA
Rfam family: Bacterial small subunit ribosomal RNA
Source: RNAcentral